RNAcentral lists this transfer RNA (73 nucleotides) under Acidimicrobiales bacterium. Its description in RNAcentral is "tRNA-Arg". It matches the Rfam family "tRNA". Rfam says of the family: Transfer RNA (tRNA) molecules are approximately 80 nucleotides in length. Their secondary structure includes four short double-helical elements and three loops (D, anti-codon, and T loops). Lineage: Bacteria; Bacillati; Actinomycetota; Acidimicrobiia; Acidimicrobiales. RNAcentral also lists the same sequence under 1 other name. The record is from RNAcentral.
GCCCACGUAGCUCAGGGGAUAGAGCACUCGUUUCCUAAAUGAGGUGUCGCAGGUUCAAAUCCUGCCGUGGGCA